RNAcentral lists this ribosomal RNA (440 nucleotides) under uncultured bacterium. Its description in RNAcentral is "bacterial SSU rRNA". It matches the Rfam family "Bacterial small subunit ribosomal RNA", at positions 28 to 433 of the family's 1533-position model. The record is from RNAcentral.
GACGAACGCUGGCGGCGUGCCUAAUACAUGCAAGUCGAGCGAGCUUGCCUAGAUGAUUUUAGUGCUUGCACUAAAUGAAACUAGAUACAAGCGAGCGGCGGACGGGUGAGUAACACGUGGGUAACCUGCCCAAGAGACUGGGGUAACACCUGGAAACAGAUGCUAAUACCGGAUAACAACACUAGACGCAUGUCUAGAGUUUGAAAGAUGGUUCUGCUAUCACUCUUGGAUGGACCUGCGGUGCAUUAGCUAGUUGGUAAGGUAACGGCUUACCAAGGCAAUGAUGCAUAGCCGAGUUGAGAGACUGAUCGGGCCACAUUGGGACUGAGACACGGGCCCAAACUCCUACGGGAGGCAGCAGUAGGGAAUCUUCGGCAAUGGGGCAACCCUGACCCGAGCAACGCCGCGUGAGUGAAGAAGGUUUUCGGAUCGUAAAGCUC